CAGAGAAUAGUUUAAGUAAAAUAUUAGUUUUGGGGAUUAAUGAUGGGGGUAUUCCUUUUCUCUGA
Molecule: transfer RNA, 65 nt
Filed under: Protonemura kohnoae
Lineage: Eukaryota; Metazoa; Arthropoda; Insecta; Plecoptera; Nemouridae
Description: tRNA-Pro
Rfam family: tRNA
About the family: Transfer RNA (tRNA) molecules are approximately 80 nucleotides in length. Their secondary structure includes four short double-helical elements and three loops (D, anti-codon, and T loops). Further hydrogen bonds mediate the characteristic L-shaped molecular structure. tRNAs have two regions of fundamental functional importance: the anti-codon, which is responsible for specific mRNA codon recognition, and the 3' end, to which the tRNAs corresponding amino acid is attached (by aminoacyl-tRNA synthetases). tRNAs cope with the degeneracy of the genetic code in two manners: having more than one tRNA (with a specific anti-codon) for a particular amino acid; and 'wobble' base-pairing, i.e. permitting non-standard base-pairing at the 3rd anti-codon position.
Source: RNAcentral